RNAcentral lists this ribosomal RNA (293 nucleotides) under uncultured eukaryote. RNAcentral describes it as "partial 18S ribosomal RNA". It matches the Rfam family "Eukaryotic small subunit ribosomal RNA", at positions 6 to 315 of the family's 1831-position model. The record is from RNAcentral.
GGUUGAUCCUGCCAGUAGUCAUAUGCUUGUCUCAAAGAUUAAGCCAUGCAUGUCCAAGUAUAAACUUUUAUACGGUGAAACUGCGAAUGGCUCAUUAUAACAGUUAUAAUUUAUUUGAUAGUAGAUUACUAGAUGGAUAACCGUGGUAAUUCUAGAGCUAAUACAUGCAUAAGAGCGCAUUUCGCGCAGUAUUUAUUAGAUUAAAACCAACGCCUUUUGGGGCCGGUGACUCAUAAUAACUUUACGGAUCGUAUAACAUUGUUGACGACGUAUCAUUCAAAUUUCUGGCCUAU